This 108-nucleotide ribosomal RNA is filed under the name Corethron hystrix. Its description in RNAcentral is "partial Trypanosomatid mitochondrial large subunit ribosomal RNA". The record is from RNAcentral. Lineage: Eukaryota; Bacillariophyta; Corethrophyceae; Corethrales; Corethraceae.
GAAGAGCCGUCAGUUCCUUGAUCGAACAGCUCGACUAUAAAAAGGGAGUGCUGUUUUCAUCCGCAUAUGAGUAUCCGGGACGGUAUACUCGUUGGACGAUGGGGUUCA